AAGGAUCAUUACAGAGUUCAUGCCCUCACGGGUAGAUCUCCCACCCUUGAAUAUUAUACCUUAGUUGCUUUGGCAGGCCGGGGCAACCCCGGAGGCUUCGGCCUUGGUGUGCCUGCCAGAGGAAACAAACUCUGUUUUUAGUGAUGUCUGAGUACUAUAUAAUAGUUAAAACUUUCAACAACGGAUCUCUUGGUUCUGGCAUCGAUGAAGAACGCAGCGAAAUGCGAUAAGUAAUGUGAAUUGCAGAAUUCAGUGAAUCAUCGAAUCUUUGAACGCACAUUGCGCCCCGUGGUAUUCCGCGGGGCAUGCCUGUUCGAGCGUCAUUUCAACCCAUCAAGCUUCGGCUUGGUCUUGGGGCCUGCGAUUCCGCAGCCUCUAAACCCAGUGGCGGUGCCUCCGAGCUCUGAGCGUAGUAAUUCUUCUCGCUAUAGGGUCUCGGUGGUGUCUUGCCAGUAACCCCCAAUUUUUUACAGGUUGACCUCGGAUCAGGUAGGGAUACCCGCUGAACUUAAGCAUAUCAAUAAGCGGAGGAAAAGAAACCAACAGGGAUUACCUCAGUAACGGCGAGUGAAGCGGUAACAGCUCAAAUUUGAAAUCUGCCGCAAGGCCGAGUUGUAAUUUGUAGAAGAUGCUUUGGGUAUGGCCCCGGUCUAAGUUCGUUGGAACACGACGUCAUAGAGGGUGAGAAUCCCGUAUGUGACUGGGUGCUUUUGCCUAUGUAAAGCUCUUUCGACGAGUCGAGUUGUUUGGGAAUGCAGCUCAAAAUGGGUGGUAUAUUUCAUCUAAAGCUAAAUAUUGGCCAGAGACCGAUAGCGCACAAGUAGAGUGAUCGAAAGAUGAAAAGCACUUUGGAAAGAGAGUUAAACAGUACGUGAAAUUGUUGAAAGGGAAGCGCUUGCAACCAGACUUGCACGCUGUUGAUCAUCCAGGCUUCUGUCUGGUGCACUCGGCAGCGUUCAGGCCAGCAUCGGUUCUGGUGGUGGGAUAAAGGCCUUGGGAAUGUAGCUUCUCUCGGGGAGUGUUAUAGCCCUCGGUGCAAUGCCGCCUAUCGGGACCGAGGACCGCGCUUCGGCUAGGAUGCUGGCGUAAUGGUUGUAAGCGACC
RNAcentral lists this ribosomal RNA (1104 nucleotides) under uncultured Lemonniera. RNAcentral describes it as "eukaryotic LSU rRNA". The stretch from base 476 to 1104 matches the Rfam family "Eukaryotic large subunit ribosomal RNA", at positions 1 to 649 of the family's 3401-position model. The record is from RNAcentral. Lineage: Eukaryota; Fungi; Ascomycota.